This 1477-nucleotide long non-coding RNA is filed under the name Calidris pygmaea (Spoon-billed sandpiper). RNAcentral's name for it is "lncRNA (ENSCPGG00000018966.1)". The record is from RNAcentral. Lineage: Eukaryota; Metazoa; Chordata; Aves; Charadriiformes; Scolopacidae.
CACAAAGGGCCGUCCUGCCAGCUGGGAAAUUGCUGGAGCAUGCCGAGUGCCGGGGCCGGAGGAAGGAGUGAAAUCAAGUUUAUGCACUUGUCAGGGGAGCUGAGGUGCGGGAGCGGAUCCAGCCCCUCUGCGCAGCUGUUACAGUCCCGACAGCACCCGGGUGGCACAGCCCUGACAGCUCAGGUCCUUGCACCUCUGCUGGCAUGGGAACGUGCCUGUUGGAUCAUGGGCAGAAGCGCACACCGGCUCUGGGUGGAGCUGAAUACAAUGCCCACAUUUGUGGUUAGCUACAAGCAAAACAUUAUGAAGAUGAUGGUAUUCAGACACAUACUCAAACAACUGGAUUCAGACAAACAGGAUGCAAGACUGACCAACAAGAGAAGAACAGCCCUUGGUCCUGAUCCCAUCAAGGCUGGAGGCAAAACUGCUGAUGGUGUCGGUGAUGGCAAUGGAGUGCACUCCCGUGAGGCUCCCUGACUCCCAUCUCAUUAACACCUGGAUUACUUCACUCUCUAAUCCAGUCAUCGGUACCCGGGCGCAGAUGUGUUUCACAGCUUCGCCAUGUUUGAUUGAUUCUGUUAUUUGUGUAUGCAGCUGUACCACUGCCUUUAUUUAUUUAUUUGUUUUAAUAUAUUGCACAGAUGCAUACAAAUGUAUCUCGGAGACCUUUCCCCCUUCACAGACAACUUCUCGUCAUGCCUUCUACUGGGCAGUCAGGCGAAGUUGUCUUUACUACUGUGGAUUUCAUCAACUUGAAAUCUAAACAAUUAAAAAAGAAAAGGUAAGCAGUUUCAGGCAGCAAGGUGGCCCUUGAAUGCCUCAGUCAAAUUUUGCAUUUAUGCACCGAAUUUUUCAUCUUUUUUUUUUUAACAUGAUUUUCUUCCACUUGUUACUUUAUGUUAGUCCGUAUAAAAGAUGAAAUGGACUGUUGAGGUGGAAAGUGGAAGCUGUUGGUACACAAAAUGCUUUCAAAUGCAGAAACUAAGCAAAUGGGCAGAGGUUUUGUACUUCCCUGCCCAUCCCUCCCAAUCUCUUUUGUUAAUAUGACUUUUCUUAUUACUUAAAGCCAUUGCAGAUCUAGAAAACAGCAGAAAAGCUUAACUUUGGAAAUUCAACUAUUUAGUGUGUGAGUAAACCUUGCCCUUGUAAAGUUCGACCCCCUUUCAUGCAAAGAUUUGACUUACAAAUGAUAUCUGUAUGGAGUUCAAUGUUGAAAAGGUGUUGGGAGCAUGUCACAUUCACAAGCAGUGUGCACUGUAAAUCGUUAUAAGUUUAUUGAAAAUAAGAUUUUGGGAUGGUUGUUCAUAAACAAUCUAUUGCUCUACUGGGCCUCAGAAAAAACAAAUUUUAAAAAAAGUUGUCUGUUUUUCCAGUGUUCAACACCGCCUGUGGUGGCAGGAUGUUGCUCUGCAGUGACCAGGUCUUCCCUGCUCAGCUGCAGGCUGUGUGCUGUGAUGAAAAUCACUCCUAGCAGACA